Molecule: ribosomal RNA, 851 nt
Filed under: Stereum hirsutum
Lineage: Eukaryota; Fungi; Basidiomycota; Agaricomycetes; Russulales; Stereaceae
Description: partial large subunit ribosomal RNA
Rfam family: Eukaryotic large subunit ribosomal RNA
Source: RNAcentral
CCCUAGUAACUGCGAGUGAAGCGGGAAAAGCUCAAAUUUAAAAUCUGGCGGUCUACUGGCCGUCCGAGUUGUAGUCUGGAGAAGCGUUUUCCGCGUUGGACCGUGUACAAGUUUCCUGGAACGGAGCGUCAUAGAGGGUGAGAAUCCCGUCUUUGACACGGAUCCCAAUGCUUUGUGAUGCGCUCUCAAAGAGUCGAGUUGUUUGGGAAUGCAGCUCAAAAUGGGUGGUGAAUUCCAUCUAAAGCUAAAUAUUGGCGAGAGACCGAUAGCGAACAAGUACCGUGAGGGAAAGAUGAAAAGCACUUUGGAAAGAGAGUUAAACAGUACGUGAAAUUGUUGAAAGGGAAACGCUUGAAGUCAGUCGCGUCGGCCGGGACUCAGCCUUGCAUCCGCUUGGUGUACUUUCCGGUCGACGGGCCAGCAUCAGUUUUGACCGCGAGAUAAAGGCGGAGGGAAUGUGGCUCUCUCGGGAGUGUUAUAGCCCUUCGUCAGAUGUCGCGGUUGGGACUGAGGAACUCAGCACGCCUUUAUGGCCGGGGCUCGCCCACGUACGUGCUUAGGAUGCUGGCGUAAUGGCUUUAAACGACCCGUCUUGAAACACGGACCAAGGAGUCUAACAUGCCUGCGAGUGUUCGGGUGGAAAACCCGUGCGCGCAAUGAAAGUGAAAGUUGGGAUCCCUGUCGUGGGGUGCACCGACGCCCGGCCCAGACCUUUUGUGACGGAGCUGCGGUAGAGCAUGUAUGUUGGGACCCGAAAGAUGGUGAACUAUGCCUGAAUAGGGUGAAGCCAGAGGAAACUCUGGUGGAGGCUCGUAGCGAUUCUGACGUGCAAAUCGAUCGUCAAAUUUGGG